This 86-nucleotide transfer RNA is filed under the name bacterium. RNAcentral's name for it is "tRNA-Leu". It matches the Rfam family "tRNA". Rfam says of the family: Transfer RNA (tRNA) molecules are approximately 80 nucleotides in length. The record is from RNAcentral.
GCCGGGAUGUCGUAAUGGGUAGCCGAGACAGACUUAAAAUCUGUUGGACAGUAUUGUCCGUGUGGGUUCAAGUCCCACUCCCGGUA